Molecule: ribosomal RNA, 301 nt
Filed under: uncultured bacterium
Lineage: Bacteria
Description: partial 16S ribosomal RNA
Rfam family: Bacterial small subunit ribosomal RNA
Source: RNAcentral
CAGUCGCCACGGGAAUACAGAGGGUGCAAGCGUUAAUCGGAAUUACUGGGCGUAAAGCGCGCGUAGGUGGUUUGUUAAGUUGGAUGUGAAAGCCCCGGGCUCAACCUGGGAACUGCAUUUGAAACUGGCAGGCUAGAGUCUUGUAGAGGGGGGUAGAAUUCCAGGUGUAGCGGUGAAAUGCGUAGAGAUCUGGAGGAAUACCGGUGGCGAAGGCGGCCCCCUGGACAAAGACUGACGCUCAGGUGCGAAAGCGUGGGGAGCAAACAGGAUUAGAUACCCCAGUAGUCCCUGUCUCUUAUAC